GUGGAUUAGAUACCCUGGUAGUCCUAGCCCUAAACGAUGCUCAUUAGAUGUGGGAGGUAUCGACCCCUUCCGCGUCGCAGCUAACGCAUUAAAUGAGCCGCCUGGGGAGUACGGCCGCAAGGUUGAAACUCAAAGGAAUUGACGGGGGCCCGCACAAGCGGUGGAACAUGUGGUUUAAUUCGACGCAACGCGAAGAACCUUACCUGGGCUUGAACUACGGAUGGUAAGUCGCUGGAAACAGUGGCUGACCCGCAAGGGAGUCAGCAGAGGUGCUGCACGGUUGUCGUCAGCU
RNAcentral lists this ribosomal RNA (292 nucleotides) under uncultured bacterium. RNAcentral's name for it is "partial 16S ribosomal RNA". It matches the Rfam family "Bacterial small subunit ribosomal RNA", at positions 773 to 1060 of the family's 1533-position model. The record is from RNAcentral.